Molecule: ribosomal RNA, 497 nt
Filed under: uncultured bacterium
Lineage: Bacteria
Description: partial 16S ribosomal RNA
Rfam family: Bacterial small subunit ribosomal RNA
Source: RNAcentral
GAUGAACGCUGGCGGCGUGCCUAAUACAUGCAAGUCGAGCGAACAGACGAGGAGCUUGCUCCUCUGACGUUAGCGGCGGACGGGUGAGUAACACGUGGAUAACCUACCUAUAAGACUGGGAUAACUUCGGGAAACCGGAGCUAAUACCGGAUAAUAUAUUGAACCGCAUGGUUCAAUAGUGAAAGACGGCUUUGCUGUCACUUAUAGCUGGAUCCGCGCCGCAUUAGCUAGUUGGUAAGGUAACGGCUUACCAAGGCAACGAUGCGUAGCCGACCUGAGAGGGUGAUCGGCCACACUGGAACUGAGACACGGUCCAGACUCCUACGGGAGGCAGCAGUAGGGAAUCUUCCGCAAUGGGCGAAAGCCUGACGGAGCAACGCCGCGUGAGUGAUGAAGGUCUUCGGAUCGUAAAACUCUGUUAUUAGGGAAGAACAAAUGUGUAAGUAACUAUGCCCGUCUUGACGGUACCUAAUCAGAAAGCCACGGCUAACUACGUG